CGCGAAGAACCUUACCAGGUCUUGACAUCCUUUGACCACUCUAGAGAUAGAGCUUCCCCUUCGGGGGCAAAGUGACAGGUGGUGCAUGGUUGUCGUCAGCUCGUGUCGUGAGAUGUUGGGUUAAGUCCCGCAACGAGCGCAACCCUUAUUGUUAGUUACCAUCAUUCAGUUGGGCACUCUAGCAAGACUGCCGGUGACAAACCGGAGGAAGGUGGGGAUGACGUCAAAUCAGCAUGCCCCUUAUGACUUGGGCUACACACGUGCUACAAUGGAUGGUACAACGAGUCGCAAACCCGCGAGGGCAAGCAAAUCUCUUAAAGCCAUUCUCAGUUCGGAUUGCAGGCUGCAACUCGCCUGCAUGAAGCCGGAAUCGCUAGUAAUCGUGGAUCAGCACGCCACGGUGAAUACGUUCCCGGGUCUUGUACACACC
This 430-nucleotide ribosomal RNA is filed under the name uncultured bacterium. RNAcentral describes it as "bacterial SSU rRNA". It matches the Rfam family "Bacterial small subunit ribosomal RNA", at positions 960 to 1391 of the family's 1533-position model. The record is from RNAcentral.